RNAcentral lists this ribosomal RNA (253 nucleotides) under uncultured bacterium. RNAcentral describes it as "partial 16S ribosomal RNA". It matches the Rfam family "Bacterial small subunit ribosomal RNA", at positions 524 to 776 of the family's 1533-position model. The record is from RNAcentral.
UACGUAGGUGGCGAGCGUUAUCCGGAAUUACUGGGCGUAAAGGGCGCGCAGGCGGCUGUUUAAGUCUGACGUGAAAGCUCCUGGCUUAACUGGGAGAGGUCGUUGGAGACUGAAUGGCUUGAGGCAAUGAGAGGGAUGCGGAAUUCCCGGUGUAGUGGUGGAAUGCGUAGAUAUCGGGAGGAACACCAGUGGCGAAAGCGGCAUCCUGGCAUUGACCUGACGCUCAUGUGCGAAAGCGUGGGGAGCGAACGGG